UAAAAAAACAAACCCUGGUUUCCGUGCCUAACGUUUGACCGUCCGUCUUAUUUGAAAAAAUUAUAAAAAAGAUUAAAAGGACAAGUCACACAUAAAAUAUUAAUUAUAUUUUAUCAUCUAGCAACAAUAAAAAUACGAAUUAUAAAAAAAUUUCAUAUAAGACGGAUAGUCAAAGUUGGACACGAAAAUCCAUGGUUUGUCUUUUU
RNAcentral lists this microRNA precursor (206 nucleotides) under Oryza rufipogon (brownbeard rice). RNAcentral describes it as "MIR812 microRNA precursor family". It matches the Rfam family "MIR812 microRNA precursor family". The record is from Rfam by way of RNAcentral. Lineage: Eukaryota; Viridiplantae; Streptophyta; Magnoliopsida; Poales; Poaceae.